This is a long non-coding RNA of Hypanus sabinus (Atlantic stingray), 1611 nucleotides long. RefSeq lists it as uncharacterized. NCBI's taxonomy places the organism in Eukaryota, Metazoa, Chordata, Chondrichthyes, Myliobatiformes, Dasyatidae. The transcript is spliced from 3 exons. The record is from RefSeq and is a predicted model, not a curated record.
UGCACUUAAUUGAAAAACUACUCCUGGAUGUGCUGCUCUGAUCAUGCCUCCGCCGAGACAGAGGAACGUAUGCCCUUUAAAGCACUCUAAACCUCCGUAAGGUAGAGACAGUAAAUGCUGAAUAUCAAAUGGUGCAAUGGAUGUUAAAAGCCCCUGGCACCUUAUUGUCCUGUUCUUUGAUCAGGAUUCAUCUAUGAAACAACAUGAUCAAAACAAACUGAGAGACAGAACACGGAACAGGCGCUUCUGGCCCAAUGAACUGCACCGCCCAGCAACCCACUCAUUGAACAUUGACCUAAUCACAGGACAGUUCACUAUGACCAAUUAGCAUACUAACUGGUACAUCUUUGUCCUGUGCAAGGAAACCAGAGCACCUGGAGGAACUGCAUGUGGUUCAUUGGGGGAACCACACUGGGGGGCACUGGACUUGAACUCCAGAUUCCAGAAUGCUCCCAGCUGUUAAUAAUUACACUACCAACUGCCUCCUGGCCGUUGUGUACUUCCAGUAAAUUUUAUUUUAUUCCAGCAGUGGUUUCCUUUCCUACUGUACUGUGCUUCUGUCUGACAGUCAAACAUUUACAUACCACAAUUAUUUUUGAAAGAGAUGUCGACUUCACACCCAUAGAGUGAAUGGCUCCACAUUCAAUGUUGGACCCAAAGUAAGAGUUAAUCCUCUUGAAAUUGAUCUUCAAACUAAAAUUACCAUCUUCAAUGUACUUUGGAAAUAAUAGAAUUUAGAGGUAGUAUUUGACACAAACUCCGUGGGCUAUUCCUAUGCUAUACUGUUCCUAAUAAAGAGGCCACUGAGUGUAUGAUUGUGAUUUUCAGACCAUCCACUUUAAGUUCGACAUGUGCAUUCAGAAAUAUUCUUCUGCACAUCACUGUUGUAGCGUAUGGUUAAUUGAGUUACUAAAGCCUUCCAGUCAGGUUGAACCAGUUUGGCCAUUCUACUCAGAACCCUCCCACUAAGAAGGCAUUUUCACUCAUAGAACUGCUACUCACUGGAUAGUUUUUUUUUUCGCUUUUCACACUGUUCUCCCAGGAGAUACUUAAACCACCCCAUCUGAGACCAAUAAUGAUUCCAUGAUCAAAGUUACUUAGGUCCCAUUUCUUCCCCAUUCUGAUGUUUGAUCUAAACAACAACUGAACCUCUUGACCAUGUCUGCAUGCUUUUAUGCAUCGAGUUGCCACAUGAUUGGCUGAUUAGUUGUUUGCAUUAACGAGCAGGUGUACCUACUAAAGGGGCUACUGAGUUACAUGUUAGUUUUAGGGGACACAAUGACAACAAGAAUUGUUCUUCCAACAAAUGUCAAAAACAAUGACCUGCCUGAAUUAAAUUUAAAAUCUAGUUCAUGCUAACAUUCAAAACGUUUCAUUAUUCUUUUGUUAGAUAGCAAGGGAAGCAUUUUUAAAUUGCAAUUUAACACCAAUAGCGUAGUCUAAAGAUGAACCAAAUUAGAGCGGCUUAUGUUACACUUACAACCGUGAAAGAGAUGUAGAUCAAUUUGUAAAAAAGCACUAAUUAUAUAUUCUUAUCAUGCAAUCUUAUCUCUGUAUCAUAUUGAUGUUAUGAAUCUUAGCUUCCUCCUGGGCAAAAAUAAAUUAUUGUUG